RNAcentral lists this microRNA (19 nucleotides) under Schistosoma mansoni. RNAcentral's name for it is "sma-miR-8472-5p". The record is from miRBase by way of RNAcentral. Lineage: Eukaryota; Metazoa; Platyhelminthes; Trematoda; Strigeidida; Schistosomatidae.
UUUAGAAGAUAGUAAUUAA